UGGGGAAUUUUGGACAAUGGGCGAAAGCCUGAUCCAGCAAUGCCGCGUGUGUGAAGAAGGCCUUCGGGUUGUAAAGCACUUUUGUCCGGAAAGAAAUCCUUGGCUCUAAUACAGUCGGGGGAUGACGGUACCGGAAGAAUAAGCACCGGCUAACUACGUGCCAGCAGCCGCGGUAAUACGUAGGGUGCAAGCGUUAAUCGGAAUUACUGGGCGUAAAGCGUGCGCAGGCGGUUUGCUAAGACCGAUGUGAAAUCCCCGGGCUCAACCUGGGAACUGCACUGGUGACUGGCAGGCUAGAGUAUGGCAGAGGGGGGUAGAAUUCCACGUGUAGCAGUGAAAUGCGUAGAGAUGUGGAGGAAUACCGAUGGCGAAGGCAGCCCCCUGGGCCAAUACUGACGCUCAUGCACGAAAGCGUGGGGAGCAAACAGGAUUAGAUACCCUGGUAGUCCACGCCCUAAACGAUGUCAACUAGUUGUUGGGGACUUCAUUUCCUUAGUAACGUAGCUAACGCGUGAAGUUGACCGCCUGGGGAGUACGGUCGCAAGAUUAAAACUCAAAUGAAUUGACGGGGUCAUA
This 576-nucleotide ribosomal RNA is filed under the name uncultured bacterium. Its description in RNAcentral is "partial 16S ribosomal RNA". It matches the Rfam family "Bacterial small subunit ribosomal RNA", at positions 355 to 923 of the family's 1533-position model. The record is from RNAcentral.